This 497-nucleotide ribosomal RNA is filed under the name uncultured bacterium. RNAcentral describes it as "partial 16S ribosomal RNA". It matches the Rfam family "Bacterial small subunit ribosomal RNA", at positions 28 to 507 of the family's 1533-position model. The record is from RNAcentral.
GAUGAACGCUGGCGGCGUGCCUAAUACAUGCAAGUCGAGCGAACGGACGAGAAGCUUGCUUCUCUGAUGUUAGCGGCGGACGGGUGAGUAACACGUGGAUAACCUACCUAUAAGACUGGGAUAACUUCGGGAAACCGGAGCUAAUACCGGAUAAUAUUUUGAACCGCAUGGUUCAAAAGUGAAAGACGGUCUUGCUGUCACUUAUAGAUGGAUCCGCGCUGCAUUAGCUAGUUGGUAAGGUAACGGCUUACCAAGGCAACGAUGCAUAGCCGACCUGAGAGGGUGAUCGGCCACACUGGAACUGAGCCACGGUCCAGACUCCUACGGGAGGCAGCAGUAGGGAAUCUUCCGCAAUGGGCGAAAGCCUGCCGGAGCAACGCCGCGUGAGUGAUGAAGGUCUUCGGAUCGUAAAACUCUGUUAUUAGGGAAGAACAUAUGUGUAAGUAACUGUGCACAUCUUGACGGUACCUAAUCAGAAAGCCACGGCUAACUACGUG